This 52-nucleotide transfer RNA is filed under the name Necator americanus (New World hookworm). RNAcentral describes it as "transfer RNA-Ser(UCN)". Lineage: Eukaryota; Metazoa; Nematoda; Chromadorea; Rhabditida; Ancylostomatidae. The record is from RNAcentral.
AAACUAUUUUUUUUGUUUUGAAAACAAAUAUUAAGAUUUUUUCUUGUAGUUU